RNAcentral lists this ribosomal RNA (267 nucleotides) under uncultured bacterium. RNAcentral's name for it is "partial 16S ribosomal RNA". It matches the Rfam family "Bacterial small subunit ribosomal RNA", at positions 227 to 507 of the family's 1533-position model. The record is from RNAcentral.
GGGCCCGCGGCCUAUCAGCUUGUUGGUGGGUAAUGGCCUACCAAGGCGACGACGGGUAGCCGGCCUGAGAGGGUGACCGGCCACACUGGGACUGAGAUACGGCCCAGACUCCUACGGGAGGCAGCAGUGGGGAAUAUUGCACAAUGGGCGCAAGCCUGAUGCAGCGACGCCGCGUGAGGGAUGACGGCCUUCGGGUUGUAAACCUCUUUCAAUAGGGACGAAGCGCAAGUGACGGUACCUAUAGAAGAAGGACCGGCCAACUACGUG